This is a long non-coding RNA of Triticum dicoccoides, 481 nucleotides long. RefSeq lists it as uncharacterized. The transcript has 3 exons. Lineage: Eukaryota; Viridiplantae; Streptophyta; Magnoliopsida; Poales; Poaceae. The record is from RefSeq and is a predicted model, not a curated record.
AAGUGAUCUUGAUGAAGUGAUAUGCAUUCUAUCCUCCACAUAUCCAUGCACAACCGAGCAAGAACAGCCAAUUUGUCGAAAUGGCAGCGCUAAUUCUGUCCCAUGAUAAAUGCAAUCCGGCACAAGCACGAUGGACAUGCAAUCCAGUGGACCUUUCAACAUUGCUGGACGGUGUCCUGCGUGCGAGAGCUGCCAUAAUCUGGUCUCCUAAACUAUGCCAUGAACAGAUGGAGACACUAAAUGAUCAACACUAGCAAACGUGACCUUAUGAUACGAUGCACCUUGCAGGGACCGGUUACAUGGAAAUAGUGCAAUAGUAGGGGCCAUAAAUAAAGAGGGUCCAAUUGCCACCCAAGUUGUUGGUUUUAAUAGGCUCUGCAAUGCUGUCUGGGCCUCCCUGUAUCAUGCGCGUGCUAUUCACGGCGCAGAGGAGGAGAUGCUGUGGUAAUAUGUGGUGGUCGGCCAGGAGAAACAGGCGUAC